This is a non-coding RNA of Myotis davidii, 75 nucleotides long. The record is from Rfam. NCBI's taxonomy places the organism in Eukaryota, Metazoa, Chordata, Mammalia, Chiroptera, Vespertilionidae.
GGCGGUUCUUGGGUGACACACCCUGGAAUCAGGCUCCCUCUUCUCUGGUUCCAGAUGUGUCACCCGAGAACCACU